ACUGGCGGCCGGCGCACGGGUGAGUAACACGUAUCCAACCUGCCUCAUACUCGGGGAUAGCCUUUCGAAAGAAAGAUUAAUACCCGAUGGUAUAAUCAGACCGCAUGGUUUGAUUAUUAAAGAAUUUCGGUUAUCGAUGGGGAUGCGUUCCAUUAGGCAGUUGGUGAGGUAACGGCUCACCAAACCUUCGAUGGAUAGGGGUUCUGAGAGGAAGGUCCCCCACAUUGGAACUGAGACACGGUCCAA
RNAcentral lists this ribosomal RNA (246 nucleotides) under uncultured bacterium. RNAcentral describes it as "partial 16S ribosomal RNA". It matches the Rfam family "Bacterial small subunit ribosomal RNA", at positions 87 to 334 of the family's 1533-position model. The record is from RNAcentral.